CACAGUUCUGUGGGAGCUGUCCGGGGUGUGGGCUAUGGGUGUCCAGUAAAACAGGAGAGGCCCAGGAGGGACCCUCCCGCACCAUCCCCACCACGUUCCUCACCAUCUGUCCAGGACUUUGCCAAGCGGCAGCUGCUGAUUGUACUGGAACACGGGGACUGUGACGCUGGGAGCUGCCUCCAUGCCAUCUCUGUCUCCCUGGGGGACACCCUCGUCCAGCUCAGGGACUCAGGAGUUGUGCUGGUCGACGGUCAGGAUGUGGCCUUGCCCUGGAGUGCAGCUGGGGGCCUCAGUGUCUCCCGGGCCUCUUCCUCUUUCCUGUUGCUGCGCUGGCCUGGUGCCCGCAUCCUCUGGGGAGUGUCUGACCCUGCAGCCUACAUCACCCUGGACCCCCACCACGCCCACCAGGUGCAGGGUCUGUGUGGCACCUUCACCCGG
Molecule: long non-coding RNA, 438 nt
Filed under: Bos mutus (wild yak)
Lineage: Eukaryota; Metazoa; Chordata; Mammalia; Artiodactyla; Bovidae
Description: lncRNA (ENSBMUG00000010343.1)
Source: RNAcentral